Molecule: long non-coding RNA, 593 nt
Filed under: Nicotiana benthamiana
Lineage: Eukaryota; Viridiplantae; Streptophyta; Magnoliopsida; Solanales; Solanaceae
Description: long non-coding RNA (NBEN_LNC022934)
Source: RNAcentral
GCAAAUUGACAUGUUAGUCCUUUCUUAUUUUCAUUUUCAUUAUUCACACUCUCUCUCUCGCGUUGUGCCUCUUCUUCAGCUAUUCUCUGUUUUCUCUUUCUAUGGUGGGUUAUUCUUCUUCUCUAUUUCCUUCUUGUUUACUUUUAUUAAUUUUAAAUCUUUUGGUUUCUUUUUGUUUUAUUUUCCUCCCUGUUUCACCAUUGUAGUAGCUCUUCUUCCUCUUUUUUUCUUUUGGCCCUUUUUUUGGUUUUUAAUGGGAGUGCUGACGUAUUUGUGCUUGGCCGUGUGAGUGUUAUGUAGUGCAUGUAUAUUUUUAUUCCUUAUUUUCCUUGAGUUUUUCCAUUUUGUGUGGUGUGAGUUCUCUGUUUUCGGAGUUUGUUUUGUGUAAUCUUUUCUUGUUAUUGCAAUUUCUAUAUUUGUAAUCGUAUGUUUAUUCAUGUUGAUUCCCUGUUCUUUUUUUUUUUUUUUUACAUGCAUGUCAGUAAUGGUUCCUGAUUUAUAAAUGAAUUGUGUCAAUUUGAAGAUAUUUUUUGUUGUUAUUGAUUACUAGUCUGGAGUGGACUAUGCACCCAAGGUGCUUGAUUAUAUGUUUG